This 84-nucleotide transfer RNA is filed under the name Trametes sanguinea. Its description in RNAcentral is "tRNA-Pro". It matches the Rfam family "tRNA". From Rfam's summary of the family: Transfer RNA (tRNA) molecules are approximately 80 nucleotides in length. Lineage: Eukaryota; Fungi; Basidiomycota; Agaricomycetes; Polyporales; Polyporaceae. The record is from RNAcentral.
GGCCCAAUGGUCUAGUAGUAUGAUUCGCGCUUCGGGUUCUUCCGAUCCUGCGCGAGGUCCCGGGUUCAAUUCCCGGUUGGGCCC